Molecule: ribosomal RNA, 484 nt
Filed under: uncultured bacterium
Lineage: Bacteria
Description: partial 16S ribosomal RNA
Rfam family: Bacterial small subunit ribosomal RNA
Source: RNAcentral
AUUGAACGCUGGCGGCAUGCUUUACACAUGCAAGUCGAACGGCAGCGCGGGCUUCGGCCUGGCGGCGAGUGGCGAACGGGUGAGUAAUACAUCGGAACGUGCCCAGUAGUGGGGGAUAGCUCGGCGAAAGCCGGAUUAAUACCGCAUACGACCUGAGGGUGAAAGCUGGGGAUCUUCGGACCUCGCGCUAUUGGAGCGGCCGAUGGCAGAUUAGCUAGUUGGUGGGGUAAAGGCCUACCAAGGCGACGAUCUGUAGCUGGUCUGAGAGGACGACCAGCCACACUGGGACUGAGACACGGCCCAGACUCCUACGGGAGGCAGCAGUGGGGAAUUUUGGACAAUGGGCGAAAGCCUGAUCAAGAAAUGCCGCGUGUGUGAUGAAGGCCUUCGGGUUGUAAAGCACUUUUGGCGGGAACGAAAAGGACUGUGCCAAUACCACGGUUCGAUGACGGUACCCGCAGAAUAAGCACCGGCUAACUACGUG